This 474-nucleotide ribosomal RNA is filed under the name uncultured bacterium. RNAcentral describes it as "bacterial SSU rRNA". It matches the Rfam family "Bacterial small subunit ribosomal RNA", at positions 53 to 518 of the family's 1533-position model. The record is from RNAcentral.
ACAUGCAAGUCGAGGGGCAGCACGGUGUAGCAAUACACUGGUGGCGACCGGCGUACGGGUGCGUAACACGUAUGCAACCUACCCGCUAUUGGGGGGAUAACCCGGCGAAAGUCGGACUAAUACCCCAUAUUAUUCUUACCGGGCAUCCGGUAGGUCUGAAAGAUUUAUCGAUUGCGGAUGGGCAUGCGGAUGAUUAGCUAGUAGGUGGGGUAACGGCUCACCUAGGCGACGAUCAUUAGGGGUUCUGAGAGGAAGGUCCCCCACACUGGAACUGAGACACGGUCCAGACUCCUACGGGAGGCAGCAGUGAGGAAUAUUGGUCAAUGGGCGCUAGCCUGAACCAGCCAAGUCGCGUGAAGGAUGACAGAAUCUAUGGUUUGUAAACUUCUUUUGCAGGGGAGUAAAGUGCGACACGUGUGUUGUAUUGCAAGUACCCUGCGAAUAAGCAUCGGCUAACUCCGUGCCAGCAGCUGC